RNAcentral lists this ribosomal RNA (549 nucleotides) under uncultured bacterium. RNAcentral's name for it is "bacterial SSU rRNA". It matches the Rfam family "Bacterial small subunit ribosomal RNA", at positions 98 to 678 of the family's 1533-position model. The record is from RNAcentral.
GCGCACGGGUGAGUAACACGUGACUAACCUACCCUUGAGUGGGGGAUAACCUAGGGAAACCUGGGCUAAUACCGCAUAAUACCUUCGGGUCAAAGGAGCAAUUCGCUUUAGGAGGGGGUCGCGGCCGAUUAGUUAGUCGGCGGGGUAAUGGCCCACCAAGACUGUGAUCGGUAUCCGGCCUGAGAGGGCGCACGGACACACUGGAACUGAAACACGGUCCAGACUCCUACGGGAGGCAGCAGUGGGGAAUUUUGCGCAAUGGGGGAAACCCUGACGCAGCAACGCCGCGUGGAGGAUGAAGCCCCUUGGGGCGUAAACUCCUUUCGAUCGGGACGAUAAUGACGGUACCGAGAGAAGAAGCCCCGGCUAACUUCGUGCCAGCAGCCGCGGUAAUACGAGGGGGGCGAGCGUUGUUCGGAAUUAUUGGGCGUAAAGGGUGCGUAGGCGGUUCAGUAAGUCUUGUGUGAAAUCUUCGGGCUUCAACUCGAAGUCUGCAUGAGAAACUGCUGGGCUUGAGUGUGGGAGAGGUGAGUGGAAUUCCCGGUGUAG